Long non-coding RNA from Pangasianodon hypophthalmus (striped catfish), 1016 nucleotides. RefSeq lists it as uncharacterized. Lineage: Eukaryota; Metazoa; Chordata; Actinopteri; Siluriformes; Pangasiidae. The transcript has 3 exons. The record is from RefSeq and is a predicted model, not a curated record.
CAGGUUUCAAGGUUGCUUUCAAUCAGCACGCAGGCUGGAGCGCGCGAGGAAGCAGUGGUGCUUUUCUUUAUGCAAACCUUCACCAUGCAGAACAUUUCUCAUGUGAAUCUUCAUCAGUGAGGAAAAAAACUGAACCUCAGGCUCAAAAGAGUUUAAUAUCUGUUCAUCCCUCUGAUGGGAGGAUUGAUAUUUCAGCUGUUGAUGGAAGCAAGGUUUUUACUCCUGUUAUUCACAGCAGCACAGGAACACUGACUAUCAACUAUAUCUGUAAGAAUGAGGGCUGGAGUGGGAGAUAUGAUAAAAAAUCCUGAUUCUUAAAGGCGUUUCUACGAUGCACUGUAUGUACAGUAUAUAUUGUGUAUUGAUAUGAUGUAAAGAUGGAGUAAAGAUGGCCGUGAGAUCAGUCUGGUGUCUGUGUGGUUAAAUCUGAGAGUGAGUCAGGCAUGUGGCUCUCUGAUGAGUUUAUUUAUUUAGACUAACUGAAAAGUUUAGCUUUGUAAUAACUGGUAAUAAUUAACACGCGGGAAACGUGAAUGGUCGCACACACUUAACUUAAAAGCAUUAAAUGGGCAUAGUACCCCCUCUAGUGGCCAUAACCAGAACUGCUAGAACAACACACGUGUUACUCCAUCUACUACAAGCUUAGAGAUAGACAGAAGAUGGACAGCCUGCUGUUUGACUGACUGUUACAGUGAUCCAGACAAGAUGGACAAGAUGGUUAAAUGCUUCUGAGGGAAAAGAUUUGAUCCAGACUGAGGACGCAUCAGACUUUACAAAGCAAAGCCGGAGAACCUUGCUUUCACACCAGGCUGGGACAGACGUGCAGGAGGGCCAACAGAUUAUGCUCAGGCACAAACAGCAUUAAAUGCAGACUUUGUGCCUCAGGUAAACACUGCAUGUGUAAGACAGACAUUUUAUGAGCUAAAACAGAAAACAGGGAAGACUGUGCAACAAUUUGUCACAUGUUUAAGGCAAGCAGCCAAGGGUUGUGACUUUGGAGCUGAGAAAGACAGUCA